This 406-nucleotide ribosomal RNA is filed under the name uncultured bacterium. RNAcentral describes it as "partial 16S ribosomal RNA". It matches the Rfam family "Bacterial small subunit ribosomal RNA", at positions 28 to 526 of the family's 1533-position model. The record is from RNAcentral.
GACGAACGCUGGCGGCAGGCCUAACACAUGCAAGUCGACCGAGUGGCGGACGGGUGAGUAAUGUAUGGGGAUCUGCCUGAUAGAGGGGGAUAACUACUGGAAACGGUAGCUAAUACCGCAUACUAUCAGAUGUGCCCAUAUGGGAUUAGCUUGUUGGUGGGGUAACGGCUCACCUAGGCGACGAUCCCUAGCUGGUCUGAGAGGAUGAUCAGCCACACUGGGACUGAGACAGGGGCCAGACUCCUACGGGAGGCAGCAGUGGGGAAUAUUGCACAAUGGGCGCAAGCCUGAUGCAGCCAUGCCGCGUGUAUGAAGAAGGCCUUAGGGUUGUAAAGUACUUUCAGCGGGGAGGCGUUACCCGCAGAAGAAGCACCGGCUAACUCCGUGCCAGCAGCCGCGGUAAUAC